Molecule: ribosomal RNA, 253 nt
Filed under: uncultured bacterium
Lineage: Bacteria
Description: partial 16S ribosomal RNA
Rfam family: Bacterial small subunit ribosomal RNA
Source: RNAcentral
UACGUAGGUGGCAAGCGUUGUCCGGAUUUAUUGGGUUUAAAGGGUGCGUAGGCGGCUUUGUAAGUCAGUGGUGAAAUCUGGCAGCUCAACUGUCAAGGUGCCAUUGAUACUGCAGAGCUUGAGUACAGAUGAGGUAGGCGGAAUUGACGGUGUAGCGGUGAAAUGCUUAGAUAUCGUCAAGAACACCUAUAGCGAAGGCAGCUUACUAGGCUGUAACUGACGCUGAGGCACGAAAGUGUGGGGAUCAAACAGG